AGAGUUUGAUCAUGGCUCAGAACGAACGCUGGCGGCGUGGAUAAGACAUGCAAGUCGAACGGGACUAUUUCUAGUAGCAAUACCGGGAAUAGUUUAGUGGCGAACGGGUGCUUAACACGUGGGCAACCUGCCAUGAAGUGGGGGAUAGCUCGCCGAAAGGCGAAUUAAUACCGCAUGUGAUUAGAGAGGACAUCCUUUCGAAAUUAAAGCUGGGGCAACCUAGCGCUUCUUGUGGGGCCCGCGGCCUAUCAGCUAGUUGGUGAGGUUACGGCUCACCAAGGCUUUGACGGGUAGCUGGUCUGAGAGGACGACCAGCCACACUGGGACUGAGACACGGCCCAGACACCUACGGGUGGCAGCAGUCGAGAAUUUUUGACAAUGGGGGAAACCCUGAUCGAGCGACGCCGCGUGGAGGAUGAAGGUCUUCGGAUUGUAAACUCCUGUCAUUGGGGAACAAUGCACAGAUAUUAACUGUAUUUGUGUUGAUAGUACCCGAAGAGGAAGGGACGGCUAACUCUGUGCCAGCAGCCGCGGUAAUACAGAGGUCCCAAGCGUUGUUCGGAUUCAUUGGGCGUAAAGGGUGCGUAGGCGGCGCGGUAAGUCGGGUGUGAAAUCUCGGGGCUUAACUCCGAAACUGCAUUCGAUACUGCCGUGCUUGAGGACUGGAGAGGAGACUGGAAUUUACGGUGUAGCGGUGAAAUGCGUAGAUAUCGUAAGGAAGACCAGUGGCGAAGGCGGGUCUCUGGACAGUUCCUGACGCUGAGGCACGAAGGUCAGGGGAGCAAACGGGAUUAGAUACCCCCGUAGUCC
This 810-nucleotide ribosomal RNA is filed under the name uncultured bacterium. Its description in RNAcentral is "bacterial SSU rRNA". It matches the Rfam family "Bacterial small subunit ribosomal RNA", at positions 8 to 796 of the family's 1533-position model. The record is from RNAcentral.